Cyprinus carpio (common carp) is the source of this 276-nucleotide long non-coding RNA. RefSeq lists it as uncharacterized. Lineage: Eukaryota; Metazoa; Chordata; Actinopteri; Cypriniformes; Cyprinidae. The record is from RefSeq and is a predicted model, not a curated record. The transcript has 3 exons.
CUCAGUAAUAUAGAAUCAGCAACAGAAAUGAUAAAGAAAAACAAUCGAAGAACUAGAAAGCGAUUCUGAUCCUGUCCAGCCGUGCAAUGUCAGAAGUAUGCCCCGAGUUCUAUGUGACACUAAAAAGAAAAUGAUUGCAUCUGGUGCAGUAAAGCAUGAUCAUACAAUUAUGAGAUUUAUGAAAGAUCUCAAAACAAACCAAAAACCAUUUCCCGCAAUCCAGAAACUAUUCCAGGAGGAGACGUCUUAUAAAUUAAGAACUGCUUACAACAAAAU